Molecule: ribosomal RNA, 198 nt
Filed under: uncultured bacterium
Lineage: Bacteria
Description: partial 16S ribosomal RNA
Rfam family: Bacterial small subunit ribosomal RNA
Source: RNAcentral
AUUACUCCUACGGGAGGCAGCAGUAAGGAAUAUUGGUCAAUGGUCGCAAGACUGAACCAGCCAUGCCGCGUGCAGGAAGACGGUCCUAUGGAUUGUAAACUGCUUUUAUACAGGAAGAAACCCUCCCACGUGUGGGAGCUUGACGGUACUGUAGGAAUAAGGAUCGGCUAACUCCGUGCCAGCAGCCGCGGUAAUAAU